GGAAAGAGCCCUACUAUUCUUCACAAGGUAUGCGACCUUCCUUUUAUGUUCUUUAGUGAUCCAGAGUUAAUGCCAGUCUUGGCGGGUACCAUGGUUGCUGCCUGCUUUGGAUGUGAACAGAACAAAGAUGUCAUUCAGCAAGAACUAAGCACCGAUAUGCUCCUUGCUUUGCUGAAAGCUUGUAGAAGUAGUCUUCCCUCUGCUAAUUCUUUUACCACACCUAAUUAUCCAUCACUAGAUGAGACUGGUGCAUCUGCU
Molecule: unclassified non-coding RNA, 258 nt
Filed under: Hevea brasiliensis (rubber tree)
Lineage: Eukaryota; Viridiplantae; Streptophyta; Magnoliopsida; Malpighiales; Euphorbiaceae
Source: RNAcentral